RNAcentral lists this ribosomal RNA (253 nucleotides) under uncultured bacterium. RNAcentral's name for it is "partial 16S ribosomal RNA". It matches the Rfam family "Bacterial small subunit ribosomal RNA", at positions 524 to 776 of the family's 1533-position model. The record is from RNAcentral.
UACGAGGGGGGCAAGCGUUGUUCGGAAUUAUUGGGCGUAAAGGGCGCGUAGGCGGUGCGGUAAGUCACCUGUGAAAACUCUGGGCUCAACUCAGAGCCUGCAGGCGAAACUGCCGUGCUUGAGUGUGGGAGAGGUGCGUGGAAUUCCCGGUGUAGCGGUGAAAUGCGUAGAUAUCGAGAGGAACACCUGCGGCGAAGGCGGGUUGCUGGGCUGAUACUGACGCUGAUGCGCGAAAGCCAGGGGAGCGAACGGG